UGGGGGAUAUUGCACAAUGGGCGAAAGCCUGAUGCAGCGACGCCGCGUGGGGGAUGAAGGCCUUCGGGUUGUAAACUUCUUUUGCUCUGAACAAGGCAUGCUAAUGGGUGUGUUGAGUGUAGGGGUUGAUUAGCGCCGGCUAACUACGUGCCAGCAGCCGCGGUAAUACGUAGGGCGCGAGCGUUGUCCGGAAUUAUUGGGCGUAAAGGGCUUGUAGGUGGCUGGUUGCGUCUGUCGUGAAAGCUCAUGGCUUAACUGUGGGUUUGCGGUGGGUACUGGCUGGCUUGAGUGCAGUAGGGGAGGCUGGAAUUCCUGGUGCAGCGGUGGAAUGCGCAGAUAUCAGGAGGAAUACCGGUGGCGAAGGCGGGUCUCUGGGCUGUUACUGACACUGAGGAGCGAAAGCAUGGGGAGCGAACAGG
RNAcentral lists this ribosomal RNA (419 nucleotides) under bacterium. RNAcentral describes it as "partial 16S ribosomal RNA". It matches the Rfam family "Bacterial small subunit ribosomal RNA", at positions 355 to 776 of the family's 1533-position model. The record is from RNAcentral.